CCUACGGGAGGCAGCAGUGGGGAAUAUUGGGCAAUGGGCGCAAGCCUGACCCAGCGACGCCGCGUGAGGGAUGAAGGUCUUCGGAUUGUAAACCUCUUUCAGUGGGGAAGAAGCGAAAGUGACGGUACCCAAAGAAGAAGCACCGGCUAACUAUGUGCCAGCAGCCGCGGUAACACAUAGGGUGCAAGCGUUGUCCGGAAUUAUUGGGCGUAAAGAGCUCGUAGGUUGUUCACCACGUCGGAUGUGAAAAUCUGAGGCUCAACCUCAGGCCUGCAUUCGAUACGAGUGAACUAGAGUUUGGUAGGGGAGACUGGAAUUCCUGGUGUAGCGGUGGAAUGCGCAGAUAUCAGGAGGAACAUCAAUGGCGAAGGCAGGUCUCUGGGCCAAUACUGACACUGAGGAGCGAAAGCGUGGGGAGCGAACAGGAUUAGAUACCCUGGUAGUCCACGCCGUAAACGGUGGGCACUAGUUGUGGGGACCUUCCACGGUUUCCGCGACGCAGCUAACGCAUUAAGUGCCCCGCCUGGGGAGUACGAUCGCAAGAUUAAAACUCAAAGGAAUUGACGGCUGAGACGNGCGAGCGACGACGAGGGAGAG
Molecule: ribosomal RNA, 597 nt
Filed under: uncultured bacterium
Lineage: Bacteria
Description: bacterial SSU rRNA
Rfam family: Bacterial small subunit ribosomal RNA
Source: RNAcentral